GCAGUAGCCGCGGGAAAACGGAGGGGGCUAGCGUUGUUCGGAAUUACUGGGCGUAAAGCGCACGUAGGCGGCUUUGUAAGUUAGAGGUGAAAGCCCGGAGCUCAACUCCGGAAUUGCCUUUAAGACUGCAGAGCUAGCAGGUGAGAGAGGUGAGUGGAAUUCCGAGUGUAGAGGUGAAAUUCGUAGAUAUUCGGAAGAACACCAGUGGCGAAGGCGGCUCACUGGCUCAUACUGGACGCUGAGGUGCGAAAGCGUGGGGAGCAAACAGGAUUAGAUACCCGCGUAGUCCCUGUCUCUUAUAC
This 302-nucleotide ribosomal RNA is filed under the name uncultured bacterium. Its description in RNAcentral is "partial 16S ribosomal RNA". It matches the Rfam family "Bacterial small subunit ribosomal RNA", at positions 508 to 807 of the family's 1533-position model. The record is from RNAcentral.